RNAcentral lists this unclassified non-coding RNA (400 nucleotides) under soil metagenome. Its description in RNAcentral is "partial contains 5.8S ribosomal RNA, internal transcribed spacer 2, and large subunit ribosomal RNA". The stretch from base 1 to 122 matches the Rfam family "5.8S ribosomal RNA", at positions 35 to 154 of the family's 154-position model. The record is from RNAcentral.
GAUGAAGAACGCAGCGAAAUGCGAUACUUGGUGUGAAUUGCAGAAUCCCGUGAACCAUCGAGUCUUUGAACGCAAGUUGCGCCUCAAGCCAUUAGGUUGAGGGCACGUCUGCCUGGGCGUCACAUAUCGUUGCCUGAUGCCAGUUUCCUCGUGAUGGUUGACUGUGCAGGGCGAAUGAUGGCUUCCCGUGAGCAUUGUUGCCUCAUGGUUGGUUGAAAAUUGAGUCCUUGGUAGGGAGCGCCGUGAUAGAUGGUGGUUGAGUGACGAACGAGACCCAAUCAUGUGAGACCCCUACCGAAUUUGGCCUUCAUGACCCACAUGCGUCUUUGGAACGCUCAUGACGAGACCUCAGGUCAGGCGGGGCUACCCGCUGAGUUUAAGCAUAUCAAUAAGCGGAGGA